ACGAACGCUGGCGGCGUGCUUAACACAUGCAAGUAGAACGGAAAGGCCCUGCUUUUGUGGGGUGCUCGAGUGGCGAACGGGUGAGUAACACGUGAGUAACCUGCCCUUGACUUUGGGAUAACUUCAGGAAACUGGGGCUAAUACCGGAUAGGAGCUCCUGCUGCAUGGUGGGGGUUGGAAAGUUUCGGCGGUUGGGGAUGGACUCGCGGCUUAUCAGCUUGUUGGUGGGGUAGUGGCUUACCAAGGCUUUGACGGGUAGCCGGCCUGAGAGGGUGACCGGCCACAUUGGGACUGAGAUACGGCCCAGACUCCUACGGGAGGCAGCAGUGGGGAAUAUUGCACAAUGGGCGGAAGCCUGAUGCAGCAACGCCGCGUGCGGGAUGACGGCCUUCGGGUUGUAAACCGCUUUCGCCUGUGACGAAGCGUGAGUGACGGUAAUGGGUAAAGAAGCACCGGCUAACUACGUG
This 467-nucleotide ribosomal RNA is filed under the name uncultured bacterium. RNAcentral describes it as "partial 16S ribosomal RNA". It matches the Rfam family "Bacterial small subunit ribosomal RNA", at positions 29 to 507 of the family's 1533-position model. The record is from RNAcentral.